Molecule: ribosomal RNA, 408 nt
Filed under: uncultured bacterium
Lineage: Bacteria
Description: partial 16S ribosomal RNA
Rfam family: Bacterial small subunit ribosomal RNA
Source: RNAcentral
GACGAACGCUGGCGGCGUGCUUAACACAUGCAAGUCGAACGAAGUGGCGAACGGGUGAGCAAUACGUGGGUAACCUGCCCUCCUUUUUGGGAUAAGCCUUGGAAACGGGGUCUAAUACCGAAAAAAGGGGGAGGGGCUGGCGGCCUAUCAGCUUGUGGGGGGGGGGAUGGCCUACCAAGGCGGUGACGGGUAGCCGGCCUGAGAGGGUGACCGGCCACAUUGGGACUGAGAUACGGCCCAGACUCCUACGGGAGGCAGCAGUGGGGGAUAUUGCACAAUGGGCGAAAGCCUGAUGCAGCGACGCCGCGUGUAUGAAGAAGGCCUUCGGGUUGUAAAGUACUUUCAGCGGGGAGGCGUUACCCGCAGAAGAAGCACCGGCUAACUCCGUGCCAGCAGCCGCGGUAAUAC